This 581-nucleotide ribosomal RNA is filed under the name Dethiobacter alkaliphilus. Its description in RNAcentral is "bacterial SSU rRNA". It matches the Rfam family "Bacterial small subunit ribosomal RNA", at positions 338 to 916 of the family's 1533-position model. The record is from RNAcentral. Lineage: Bacteria; Bacillati; Bacillota; Dethiobacteria; Dethiobacterales; Dethiobacteraceae.
CCUACGGGAGGCAGCAGUGAGGAAUAUUGGUCAAUGGAGGCAACUCUGAACCAGCCACGUCGCGUGAAGGAUGACGGCCCUACGGGUUGUAAACUUCUUUUAUACAGGAAUAAAGUGAGUCACGUGUGACUUUUUGCAUGUACUGUAUGAAUAAGGAUCGGCUAACUCCGUGCCAGCAGCCGCGGUAAUACGGAGGAUCCAAGCGUUAUCCGGAUUUACUGGGCGUAAAGGGUGGGUAGGCGGUUAUAUAUGUCAGGUGUAAAAAGCUAUGGCUUAACCAUAGUAAGCACUUGAAACUGUAUGACUUGAGUGCAGGAGAGGUAAGCGGAAUUCCCAGUGUAGCGGUGGAGUGCGUAGAUAUUGGGAGGAACACCAGUGGCGAAGGCGACUGCCUGGACGAUAACUGACGCUGAGGCACGAAAGCUAGGGGAGCAAACAGGAUUAGAUACCCUGGUAGUCCUAGCCGUAAACGAUGGGUACUAGGUGUAGGAGGUUUCGAUACCUUCUGUGCCGCAGUUAACGCAAUAAGUACCCCGCCUGGGGAGUACGGCCGCAAGGUUGAAACUCAAAGGAAUUGACGG